Molecule: ribosomal RNA, 497 nt
Filed under: uncultured bacterium
Lineage: Bacteria
Description: partial 16S ribosomal RNA
Rfam family: Bacterial small subunit ribosomal RNA
Source: RNAcentral
GAUGAACGCUGGCGGCGUGCCUAAUACAUGCAAGUCGAGCGAACGGACGAGAAGCUUGCUUCUCUGAUGUUAGCGGCGGACGGGUGGGUAACACGUGGAUAACCUACCUAUAAGACUGGGAUAACUUCGGGAAACCGGAGCUAAUACCGGAUAAUAUUUUGAACCGCAUGGUUCAAAAGUGAAAGACGGUCUUGCUGUCACUUAUAGAUGGAUCCGCGCUGCCUUAGCUAGUUGGUAAGGUAACGGCUUACCAAGGCAACGAUGCAUAGCCGACCUGAGAGGGUGAUCGGCCACACUGGAACUGAGACACGGUCCAGACUCCUACGGGAGGCAGCAGUAGGGAAUCUUCCGCAAUGGGCGAAAGCCUGACGGAGCAACGCCGCGUGAGUGAUGAAGGUCUUCGGAUCGUAAAACUCUGUUAUUAGGGAAGAACGUAUGUGUAAGUAACUGUGCACAUCUUGACGGUACCUAAUCAGAAAGCCACGGCUAACUACGUG